Molecule: ribosomal RNA, 397 nt
Filed under: uncultured bacterium
Lineage: Bacteria
Description: bacterial SSU rRNA
Rfam family: Bacterial small subunit ribosomal RNA
Source: RNAcentral
UAUUGCACAAUGGAGGAAACUCUGAUGCAGCGACGCCGCGUGAAUGAUGAAGGCCUUCGGGUUGUAAAGUUCUGUCCUUGGGGAAGAUAAUGACGGUACCCAAGGAGGAAGCCCCGGCUAACUACGUGCCAGCAGCCGCGGUAAUACGUAGGGGGCGAGCGUUGUCCGGAAUUAUUGGGCGUAAAGGGUUCGCAGGCGGUCUGAUAAGUCAGAUGUGAAAGGCGUAGGCUUAACCUAUGUAAGCAUUUGAAACUGUCAGACUUGAGUUAAGGAGAGGAAAGUGGAAUUCCUAGUGUAGCGGUGAAAUGCGUAGAUAUUAGGAGGAAUACCAGUGGCGAAGGCGACUUUCUGGACUUAUACUGACGCUGAGGAACGAAAGCGUGGGGAGCAAACAGGA